Molecule: long non-coding RNA, 850 nt
Organism: Ailuropoda melanoleuca (giant panda)
Lineage: Eukaryota; Metazoa; Chordata; Mammalia; Carnivora; Ursidae
Exons: 3
Source: RefSeq, a predicted model, not a curated record
CAUGAGUACCAUGGGCUCCAUGCUGGCUCAUUUUCCUCACAGUGUCCCCUUGACUCCAGGAUUCUUCUAGAAGGUCUCUUGCUCUCCCCCCCUCACAGUGACCUCUCUCCACCUGCCCCUCCUGCCUUCCCUUGGGCCCCUGGGUCCUCCUUCACACUGAGGCCCUGCCUGCCCUUCAUUCCAUUCGACAAACACUUACGAGCAACAGCUGGGUGCCAGGGGCAGGGGUGGGGAGGCGCCUUGGAGUCAGGAGAGAACAGCAGAGACAAGGGACCUCCCUGGGGGAGCUGACAUUUGGGUGGGAGGGCCAGACAAGAGACAAGAUAAAACUCCUGAAUGUGUUCCCUCACAUGGCAAAAGGAACUUCGCAGAUGUAAGUAGGAUGUAAGGGUCUUCAGACAGGGAGAUUAUCCUGAUUACGGGGUGGGCCCCACCUAAUAACACAAAUCCUUAAAUGCAGAAGUGGGAGGCAGAAAGGGGGUCAGAGAGACACCACAUGAGGAGGACUUUCCCUACGAGCUUUGAAGGUGGUGGGAGAGGCCACAAGCCAGUGAGUGCAGGCUACCGUUUCAGCGGCCGUCCAGCAAGAAACUGGGGGCCUCAGGGCUACAACCCCAUGGAGCUAAACUCUGCCAGCGCCUGAAUGAGGUGAGGGCUCCUUCCCUAGAGCCUGGCGGCCAGCUGACACCUUAGCCCAGGGAGGCCUAAAGCGGACUCUGACUCCAGAACCUGAGAUGAUACACGCGUGUUGUGGGCAUUUGCGACGGCAGCAAGAGGAAACCAAUCCAAGAGCAAAGAAACCUGGCACCACUCCUCUUGCUUCUGGGAUCAAAGACCGCCUGGCUCCAGC